UAACUACAUUACUGAUAACUCAAAUGAGAGCGCCAAUAAAGCUCGAAGGGGUACACUGAGACCUCCCGCAUGCACUCUUAGCUAACAAAUGAGAGUGUGUGAAGCCGGGUAAAGACGAGUGAAACCUACCCUAACACGUAAUGGUGAGGAAAAAUAAGUCAGAGGUGACUAUGUAGGCAUAGCACGGGUGGCGA
Molecule: non-coding RNA, 194 nt
Filed under: uncultured Turicibacter sp.
Lineage: Bacteria; Bacillati; Bacillota; Erysipelotrichia; Erysipelotrichales; Turicibacteraceae
Source: RNAcentral